GAGACAAGGCAAGAAGGGCAUUCUAUGCCAUCAAAAGGAACAUAAAUUUCAACAUACCAAUUAGGAUUUGGCUAUAAAUACUUGAAUCAGUCAUAGAGCCCAUCGCCCUUUAUGGUUGUGAGGUGUGGGGUCCGCUCACCAACCAAGACUUCACAAAAUGGGGCAAACACCAAAUUGAGACUCUGCACGCAGAAUUCUGCAAAAAUAUCCUCCGUGUACAAUGUAGAACACCAAAUAAUGCAUGCAGAGCAGAAUUAGGCCGAUACCCACUAAUUAUCAAAAUCCAGAAAAGAGCCGUUAAAUUCUAUAACCACCUAAAAGGAAGCGAUUCCCAAACCUUCUACAACAAAGCCAUCACCUACAGAGAGAUGAACCUGGAGAAGAGUCCCCUAAGCAAGCUGGUCCUGGGGCUCUGUUCACAAACACAAACACACCCUACAGAGCCCCAGGACAGCAGCACAAUUAGACCCAACCAAAUCAUGAGAAAACAAAAAGAUAAUUACUUGACACAUUGGAAAGAAUUAACAAAAAAACAGAGCAAACUAGAAUGCUAUUUGGCCCUACACAGAGAGUACACAGCGGCAGAAUACCUGACAACUGUGACUGACCCAAAAUUAAGGAAAGCUUUGACUAUGUACAGACUCAGUGAUCAUAGCCUUGCAAUUGAGAAAGGCUGCCGUAGGCAGACAAGGCUCUCAAGAGAAGACAGGCUAUGUGCUCACCCCCCACAAAAUGAGGUGGAAACCGAGCUGCACUUCCUAACCUCCUGCCCAAUGUAUGACCAUAUUAGAGAGACAUAUUUCCCUCAGAUUACACAGAUCCACCAAGAAUUCAAAAACAAAUCCAAUUUUGAAAAACUCCCUACUGGGUGAAAUUCCACAGUGUGCCAUCAGAGCAGCAAGAUUUGUGACCUGUUGCCACGAGAAAAGGGCAACCAGUGAAGAACACGCACCAUUGUAAAUACAACCCAUAUCUAUGCUUAUUUAUUUUAUCUUGUGUCCUUUACCAUUUGUACAUUGUUAAAACACUGUAUAUAUAAAUAAUAUGACAUUUGUAAUGUCUUUAUUGUUUUGAAACUUCUGUAUGUGUGAUGUCUACUGUUAAUUUAUAUUGUUUAUUUCACUUUAUAUAUUUUCUACCUUACUUGCUUUGGCAAUGUUAACACAUGUUUUCCAUGCCAAUAAAGCCCUUGAAUUGAAUUGAGAGAGAGACAAACACACACACACACACACACUAUCCUGGCCCAAUUUUAUUUUAAUUAUCAAGUAAAAUGGCGGGAAACAGGGGACCCCAUUGAUGGGCGCUUCGCCCCUUUUUUCAGUUUGAAUGUUUCUUUCCUUCUCUUCUACUGCUAGCAAGCUACAUUUUAUAAAAAACUUCACCCACCCUUAAAAAAGUGCUUUCUGGACCGUUUGUCGAAAUUCUUUUGAAUUUUGUGUCAAUUACACACGUAUAAGAACUGUA
Oncorhynchus masou masou (cherry salmon) is the source of this 1464-nucleotide long non-coding RNA. RefSeq lists it as uncharacterized. NCBI's taxonomy places the organism in Eukaryota, Metazoa, Chordata, Actinopteri, Salmoniformes, Salmonidae. The record is from RefSeq and is a predicted model, not a curated record. The transcript is spliced from 2 exons.